This 211-nucleotide long non-coding RNA is filed under the name Cyanistes caeruleus (blue tit). Its description in RNAcentral is "lncRNA (ENSCCEG00000010227.1)". Lineage: Eukaryota; Metazoa; Chordata; Aves; Passeriformes; Paridae. The record is from RNAcentral.
UCCACCUAGAAUGUGUCUCACCUACAUAAAGCCUCCUGAAGUAUCAUAGCUACUACAAGGUUGUGUUUUCCUUCUGGAAAGAUUGCAGAUUGCUCAUUUUCUCCAGGGUUCAUGGAGGUGACAAGAUGGGAGAAUUAAAGGAACAGAGCUGUGAAGUUACCUGCUCAAAGUCAUAAAGGAGGCCAAUGAUAAAUCCAGGUGUAUAAGCCAA